This 208-nucleotide unclassified non-coding RNA is filed under the name Hevea brasiliensis (rubber tree). The record is from RNAcentral. Lineage: Eukaryota; Viridiplantae; Streptophyta; Magnoliopsida; Malpighiales; Euphorbiaceae.
GCAUUAGGUGCUCCUCCAUUGAAACCUGACCAACCCAUCCAAAGUAGCCCUGCUCCUGCAAGCAUCAAUAACACAUUGUUUGGUGGAAACCUUUCUCUAUCACUCUUCAGUCUUGGCCCAACCCAAUAAGCAGCGGUGAAUCCAGAAAUUCCAGCAGAAAGAUGAAUAACAUAGCCACCAGAAUAAUCAAUCACACCCCAAUGAUAAA